UGGGGAAUAUUGGACAAUGGGCGCAAGCCUGAUCCAGCCACGCCGCGUGAGUGAUGAAGGCCUUCGGGUCGUAAAGCUCUGUGGGGAGGGACGAACGAACGGGUGAAGAACCUGGAAUGACGGUACCUCCUUAGCAAGCACCGGCUAACUUCGUGCCAGCAGCCGCGGUAAUACGAAGGGUGCAAACGUUGCUCGGAAUCAUUGGGCGUAAAGCGCACGUAGGCGGCCUUUUAAGUCGGAUGUGAAAUCCCUCGGCUCAACCGAGGACGUGCAUUCGAAACUGGGAGGCUCGAGUAUGGAAGAGGGUCGCGGAAUUCCCGGUGUAGAGGUGAAAUUCGUAGAUAUCGGGAGGAACACCAGUGGCGAAGGCGGCGACCUGGGCCAAUACUGACGCUGAGGUGCGAAAGCGUGGGGAGCAAACA
This 422-nucleotide ribosomal RNA is filed under the name uncultured bacterium. RNAcentral's name for it is "bacterial SSU rRNA". It matches the Rfam family "Bacterial small subunit ribosomal RNA", at positions 355 to 774 of the family's 1533-position model. The record is from RNAcentral.